UGCAAAGUAUGUAGUACGUAAUAGAACUUAUUUUCACAAAAUCUUACACAUGCUCUCUUCACAUCCAACCACUUAUCAACAAACACAUCACAUUCAGGAUUGGCCGACAGAAGGGCGUUGAGCAA
Aricia agestis (brown argus) is the source of this 125-nucleotide long non-coding RNA. RefSeq lists it as uncharacterized. The record is from RefSeq and is a predicted model, not a curated record. Lineage: Eukaryota; Metazoa; Arthropoda; Insecta; Lepidoptera; Lycaenidae. The transcript is spliced from 3 exons.